RNAcentral lists this ribosomal RNA (253 nucleotides) under uncultured bacterium. RNAcentral's name for it is "partial 16S ribosomal RNA". It matches the Rfam family "Bacterial small subunit ribosomal RNA", at positions 524 to 776 of the family's 1533-position model. The record is from RNAcentral.
GACGAACCGCGCGAACGUUGUUCGGAAUCACUGGGCUUAAAGGGCGCGUAGGCGGGUCGGCAAGUCCGGGGUGAAAGCCUCCAGCUCAACUGGAGAAGUGCCUUGGAUACUGCCGGUCUCGAGGGAGGCAGGGGUCUGUGGAACUUCUGGUGGAGCGGUGAAAUGCGUUGAUAUCAGAAGGAACGCCGGUGGCGAAAGCGACGGACUGGUCCUCUUCUGACGCUGAGGCGCGAAAGCCAGGGGAGCAAACGGG